GAUGAAGAACGUAGCGAAAUGCGAUAAGUAAUGUGAAUUGCAGAAUUCAGUGAAUCAUCGAAUCUUUGAACGCACAUUGCGCCCCUUGGUAUUCCGAGGGGCAUGCCUGUUCGAGCGUCAUUAUAACCCUCAAGCUCAGCUUGGUGUUGGGGCCUGCUGCACUGGCAGCCCUUAAAAUCAGUGGCGGCGCCAUCUGGCUCUAAGCGUAGUAAUUCUUCUCGCUAUGGAGUCCUGGUGGAUGCUUGCCAUCAACCCCCAAUUUUUCUAUGGUUGACCUCGGAUCAGGUAGGGAUACCCGCUGAACUUAGGCAUAUCAAUAAGCGGAGGA
RNAcentral lists this unclassified non-coding RNA (328 nucleotides) under soil metagenome. RNAcentral describes it as "partial contains 5.8S ribosomal RNA, internal transcribed spacer 2, and large subunit ribosomal RNA". The stretch from base 1 to 120 matches the Rfam family "5.8S ribosomal RNA", at positions 35 to 154 of the family's 154-position model. The record is from RNAcentral.